UGCUCUACACCCUUUGUGACAUACCUAUAACUGUUGCUUCGGCGGGCAGGGUCUCCGUGACCCUCCCGGCCUCCCGCCCCCGGGCGGGUCGGCGCCCGCCGGAGGAUAACCAAACUCUGAUUUAACGACGUUUCUUCUGAGUGGUACAAGCAAAUAAUCAAAACUUUUAACAACGGAUCUCUUGGUUCUGGCAUCGAUGAAGAACGCAGCGAAAUGCGAUAAGUAAUGUGAAUUGCAGAAUUCAGUGAAUCAUCGAAUCUUUGAACGCACAUUGCGCCCGCCAGCAUUCUGGCGGGCAUGCCUGUUCGAGCGUCAUUUCAACCCUCAAGCUCUGCUUGGUGUUGGGGCCCUACAGCUGAUGUAGGCCCUCAAAGGUAGUGGCGGACCCUCCCGGAGCCUCCUUUGCGUAGUAACUUUACGUCUCGCACUGGGAUCCGGAGGGACUCUUGCCGUAAAACCCCCAAUUUUCCAAAGGUUGACCUCGGAUCAGGUAGGAAUACCCGCUGAACUUAAGCAUAUCAAAAGCCCGAAGGAAA
RNAcentral lists this ribosomal RNA (536 nucleotides) under Colletotrichum gloeosporioides. RNAcentral's name for it is "eukaryotic LSU rRNA". The stretch from base 162 to 315 matches the Rfam family "5.8S ribosomal RNA". Lineage: Eukaryota; Fungi; Ascomycota; Sordariomycetes; Glomerellales; Glomerellaceae. The record is from RNAcentral.